UCAUUCCCUCCUUGCGGUCCCGUUUCGGCUCCAGGAGCUCUUCCAAACACAUUUUCUGGUUCUCGAAUUUCUUCUUUUCCUAAGUCUUGUGAAGCAAAGGUUAUAGUUUCCAUUGUAGUUGUGGCAGUGAUAUCUUCCAUUACCGCAAGAUCUUCUGUUGAAGUUUCAGUUGUAACAAGUUCUGGAGCAUCUGUUACAAUAGUGGUAGAAGGUGACAAU
Molecule: non-coding RNA, 219 nt
Organism: Caenorhabditis elegans
Lineage: Eukaryota; Metazoa; Nematoda; Chromadorea; Rhabditida; Rhabditidae
Source: Ensembl